AUGAUUUUUUUAAAUGUAAUGUUUCAUGAAUAUGAAAACAAAGUCAGAAAUGGUGUACUAGUAAACCAUUCUUCUCCAUAUUUUUGGUCAAAUUUGACAGAAAAGCACAGAAAAUUGAAGUGCAGCAGCAUGCAGUCAACAAAAGGAGAUUUUCAAAACUUGCCUCUUAUGGAUACCAGAGAGGAAACCAGGGCAAGCAAUUAA
Non-coding RNA from Vicia faba (fava bean), 204 nucleotides. NCBI's taxonomy places the organism in Eukaryota, Viridiplantae, Streptophyta, Magnoliopsida, Fabales, Fabaceae. The record is from the annotation of a GenBank genome assembly.